AUGCACCACCUCGUGGGCGCGCUCCCGCACCGCGCCAUGCGCGACCUCGCCCUCCGGCACGGCCCUCUCAUGCUGCUCCGCAUGGGCGAGCUCCCCGUCGUCGUGGCCUCGUCAGCGGCCGCGGCGAGGGACGUCCUCAAGACCCACGACGCCGCCUUCGCCACGCGUCCGAGAACGAACACCAUCGCCACGCUCGACGGAGACGGCCUCGGCUUCGCUCUCGCGCCGUACGGCGACCACUGGCGCCGCGUCCGCAAGCUCUGCGUCACGGAGCUGCUCGGCGCGCCGCGGGUCCGGUCGUUCCAGGGGACACGCGAGGCUGAGGCGGCCGCCCUCGUCGCGUCCGUGGCCGCCGCGGCGGCGUCCGGGGACGUCGUGAACGUCAGCUCCCUCGUCAGCACGUACGUCGUCGACGCCGCGGUGCGCGUCAUUGUUGGCGACCGGAUCGCGGGCCGCGACGCCUUCCUGGCGUGCCUGGAGGAGGGCCUCAGGUUGUCCUCCGGGUUCAGCCUCGCCGACCUGUUCCCGUCGUCGCGCCUCGCGCGCGCGCUCAGCAGGAGGUCGCGCCAGGUGGAGGCGGCAGCCCAGGAGAUGUCCAGGGUCAUGGACGGCGUCAUCGAGGAGAAACGCGCGAGGAAGGCGGCCGGCAAUGGCAUGGGCAGGGAGGAAGAGCAGGACAUCCUGGACGUGCUUCUGGACGGCGGCGGUACCGCGCCUCUCGACAUCGGGACCAUCCGUGCCGUGGUGAGGGAUCUCUUCGGAGCCGGGAGCGAGUCCUCGGCGUCGACGCUGCAGUGGGCCAUGGCGGAGCUGAUGCGGAGGCCGGCGGCGCUCCGGAGGGCGCAGGCGGAGGUGCGGGGCGCGCUCGCCGGGCAGAGCCGCGUCCGGGAGGAGGCCCUGCAGGAGCUGCCGUACCUGCGGCUGGUGAUCAAGGAGACGCUCCGGCUGCACGCCACGGUGCCGCUGAUGCUGCCGCGGGAGAGCCGCGAGGCCACCCGCGUCCUCGGGUACGACGUGCCGCAGGGCACCAUGGUGCUGGUCAACGCUUGGGCCAUCGGCCGGGACGCGGCGACCUUUGGCGCGGACGCUGAGGAGUUCCGGCCGGAGAGGUUCGAGGAGGGGACCGCGGCGGCGCUGGACUUCAGGGGGACAGACUUCGAGCUCCUGCCGUUCGGCGCGGGGCGGAGGAUGUGCCCCGGGAUCACGUUCGGGCUCGCCGUCAUGGAGCUCGCGCUGGCGAGCCUCCUCUUCCAUUUCGACUGGGAGCUCCCCGGCGGCACGGUGGAACUGGACAUGGCGGAGACGUUCGGGGUCACGGCGAAGAUGAAGAACGACCUGUGGCUGCAUGCUGCCGUCGUCGUGCCACCUCUGUAA
This 1374-nucleotide ribosomal RNA is filed under the name Triticum aestivum (bread wheat). Its description in RNAcentral is "partial small subunit ribosomal RNA". Lineage: Eukaryota; Viridiplantae; Streptophyta; Magnoliopsida; Poales; Poaceae. The record is from RNAcentral.